GAUGAACGCUGGCGGCGUGCCUAAUACAUGCAAGUCGAGCGAACAGACGAGGAGCUUGCUCCUCUGACGUUAGCGGCGGACGGGUGAGUAACACGUGGAUAACCUACCUAUAAGACUGGGAUAACUUCGGGAAACCGGAGCUAAUACCGGAUAAUAUAUUGAACCGCAUGGUUCAAUAGUGAAAGACGGUGUUGCUGUCACUUAUAGAUGGAUCCGCGCCGCAUUAGCUAGUUGGUAAGGUAACGGCUUACCAAGGCAACGAUGCGUAGCCGACCUGAGAGGGUGAUCGGCGACAUUGGAACUGAGCCGCGGUCCAGACUCCUACGGGAGGCAGCAGUAGGGAAUCUUCCGCAAUGGGCGAAAGCCUGACGGAGCAACGCCGCGUGAGUGAUGAAGGUCUUCGGAUCGUAAAACUCUGUUAUUAGGGAAGAACAAAUGUGUAAGUAACCGUGCACGUCUUGACGGUACCUAAUCAGAAAGCCACGGCUAACUACGUG
RNAcentral lists this ribosomal RNA (497 nucleotides) under uncultured bacterium. RNAcentral's name for it is "partial 16S ribosomal RNA". It matches the Rfam family "Bacterial small subunit ribosomal RNA", at positions 28 to 507 of the family's 1533-position model. The record is from RNAcentral.